UACGUAGGGGGCGAGCGUUGUCCGGAUUUAUUGGGCGUAAAGAGCUCGUAGGCGGUUUGGUAAGUUGGAUGUGAAAUCUCCAGGCUCAACUUGGAGGGGUCAUUCGAUACUGCCAUGACUAGAGUUCGGUAGGGGAGUGUGGAAUUCCUGGUGGAGCGGUGAAAUGCGCAGAUAUCAGGAGGAACACCCGUAGCGAAGGCGGCACUCUGGGCCGGAACUGACGCUGAGACGCGAAAGCGUGGGGAGCGAACAGG
RNAcentral lists this ribosomal RNA (254 nucleotides) under uncultured bacterium. RNAcentral describes it as "partial 16S ribosomal RNA". It matches the Rfam family "Bacterial small subunit ribosomal RNA", at positions 524 to 776 of the family's 1533-position model. The record is from RNAcentral.